UAGUCAUAUGCUUGUCUCAGAGAUUAAGCCAUGCAUGUCCAAGUAUAAGCAAUCUUAUACAGCGAAACUGCGAAUGGCUCAUUAAAUCAGUUAUAGUCUACUUGAUCGUACCUUCUUACAUGGAUAACCGUAGUAAAUCUAGAGCUAAUACAUGCUAAAAAUCCUGGACGCGGCAACGCGGAAGGGACGAGUUUAUUAGAUUAAAAACCGACACCUCUCCGCGAGGGGAGGUAGCACAGGUGAUUCACAGUAACCGAUCGGAUCGUCGGCCCCGCCGACGACGAUGCAUACGAGUUUCUGCCCUAUCAACUUUAGAUGGUAGAGUAUCGGUCUACCAUGGUCGUAACGGGUGACGGGGGAUUAGGGUUCGAUUCCGGAGAGGGAGCCUGAGAAACGGCUACCACUUCCAAGGAAGGCAGCAGGCGCGCAAAUUACCCAAUCCCGACACGGGGAGGUAGUGACAAGAAAUACCAUUGUAAUGUCUCCUCGAGAGGCUUACGAUUGGAAUGUGUACAAUUUAAAUCCCUCGACGAGUAACGAUU
This 542-nucleotide ribosomal RNA is filed under the name uncultured eukaryote. Its description in RNAcentral is "SSU rRNA". It matches the Rfam family "Eukaryotic small subunit ribosomal RNA", at positions 21 to 549 of the family's 1831-position model. The record is from RNAcentral.